GUUGAGAUCAUUUUGCUCUCCCUCUUUCUCCCGCCCAUCACACACACACAAAUUCCUCUCCCUCUUUCUCUCCACGUAUAGAAACGAUUUCCACUUCUCUUCGUUUCUCUCUCUCACUCACUCUCUCUCUCUCGCGCGCGCACACACACACAUCAUACCUUCUCUUCCCUGUUGUCUGACGAAUUCGGGCUCACCGUUGUUGUGCUUCAGACGAAUCUGAUUUUGUAAGGUCUGUGUGUUUUAACCUCUUCAACAAUCUUGGAGUUCAUAUUAAUUCAAAUGAUGGACAACAUCCAUAUUUUUGGUUAUGCGUGUUCAGUUUAUAUUUUAUAAAUCGGGACUUAAUUUCUUACGUAUUAUUUAUAAUUUUUCUCAUAAUCAAAUGCUUUUGGAUUAUUUUUUAUAGGUGGAUGAUAUGUUGGAGGAAACAGUAAUAUUAGAUCUCUAUACUCAUUUUUUUAUUUAAUCUAAAUUUCAUAAUAUAAUUUUUCUUUUACAUUUCAAAUGCGUUUUCUAUACAUAUACAGGUUCAAUUUCUUCAAAACAGAAAUGUCAGUGUUGUGAUCCACAAUGAAUGGGACUUCAAUGUCCUCUGUGUUCGUGGAGAGGUCGCCAGCCUUUGUAGUUGGAUUAAAGGCCGCAAGCCUCUCCUCUGUCAUCACAAGCCUUUCGCUGGAGGUCGCAAGUCUCGCUACAGAACUGACAAAAAUGAGAAAGGGAACUGAGAUAGAUAUGAGAAUGAGACUUCAUAAUUCUUUUUUUAUCUCUAGUAAGAGAAGUUAUUCAAUUCCAAAUCUGAGAGGAAGAUUGUAUCGGAGGUCGCAAGUAUCGUCAGAGAACUGACAGAUAUGAGAAAGGAAACUAAGGCCCCGUUUGUUUCUAGAGAUGAAAUGGAGGGGAUUGAUAGUGAGGGGAUUAAUAGUGAGGGGAUUGUUAGUGAGGGUCGUUUGUUUUCAGAGAUAGAAUGAAGGGGAUUGAU
This is a non-coding RNA of Camellia sinensis, 979 nucleotides long. The record is from RefSeq and is a predicted model, not a curated record. Lineage: Eukaryota; Viridiplantae; Streptophyta; Magnoliopsida; Ericales; Theaceae.